UUGAAACACUGGUUCCCGUUUGAUCAUCGGAGUUAAGCAAGGUCGAGCCUGGUCAGUACCUAAAUGGAUGACAGUUUGAGAAUACGAAGUGCUGUA
This is a non-coding RNA of Acanthosepion pharaonis, 96 nucleotides long. Lineage: Eukaryota; Metazoa; Mollusca; Cephalopoda; Sepiida; Sepiidae. The record is from the annotation of a GenBank genome assembly.